GAACCUCUCGGCAGCUCGGAAGGCCGGCCGCUCCCAGCCAAGAAAGAAACACAACGGCGACACGCAUGCAUAGGUAUGCGGAACCGGUCGCGUCGCAUGGGCCUCGUCGACCAGCUCUGGGACGACACGGUACGGCGGCCGGACAACGGCCUCGGCAAGCUCCAAAGGUACUCCUCCUUCUCGCCCUCCUCUUCCUCGUCGGGAGCGGCAGCAGCAGACGCAGCGACGGCGGUGACCCUCAUUCUCGCGGCCGACCUUCUCGCGGCCGACCUCAAUCGUCACCGCUGCCGAUCUCAACCCACCCGCCUCCGCGGCCGUACAUCUCCCCGCUCACUGUCCCCGUUGCGGCGCUCGAGCGCAUCGCGUCGACCCUGGUCCACUCUGGUCUGUGCCCAGGCCGCUGUCACACGACUCGCCGCCGCGGCCGACCUUAACCACCACUGUUGUCGAUCUCAACCCACCCGCCUCCGCGGCCGUACCUCUGCCCUCUUGCUGCCCCGUUUCGGCGCUCGAGCACAGCUUCUGGAUCAAAUAAACGCGACAGCUACAGUGAUUGGGGAUGAUGCUCUGCUCGAUGCAGAACGGCGGCAAUGCGCGGAUAAGGCGCGGCGGAGCGAAGUACUUGCAAGUGGAGGCGGGCCUCCAUGGCUCACACGGGGAACUCCGAGGUUAUGGCGCGGCAACGACGACUCCUUAUGGCCAGAUAGAGGUGCCUAACCCUUGCUCCCUCAUCGUAUCCCCUCCUCCGGCAGGAACUCAUCAUCUGGUGAGAUCUCCUCCCCAUGCCUCUAACCGUGUGCUAAGGACCGGCAAGAAAUUUUGUUUUUGUGGGGAUUUGUUUGUUGAUGAAUGAAUGUAUUGAAUGUAAGAUUCAUUUUUGUAGAGACAGAGAAUGGAACACCACCUUCAGUUUGUCAUCUGAUCCCACAUUCUCUACCCCAUGAGUGAAAUAAGAUAACAGUCCAUUGAUCAAUUCACGUAGCCUCUUUGUUUUGCUUUGCUUGUUCCGCUCAAUUUCUCAUCAUGGUGGAAUUAACAAUGGACGGGUUGAUUUCUCAACAAAAUAGGGUAGGACUGACUACAUUAGUUAGUUACUUAUAAAUCAAAAUGAUUAUAAAAUGUGGUAUUUUUUUUCCCGUUGCAACGCACGGGUCCUUUUGCUAGUAACAUACAAAGACAGAAGGUUCUAACUUCGGAUCAACAUGCUUGCAGGGUGGUGAUCAGUUCCUUGGACUGAUGAAGUAGAAGUAAUCAAGCAUGAAAUAAUCGAUCGAACAAGAAGAGGAUGUAGCUGGCAUAGUUGAGGUCGUGUGUUUGUUGCGCCAUAUGCAUACAUGCUAUUUCUGUAAUCGUUGGUUAACUAGGUGCACUGUCUUUUCUUCUUCUUUUAUGUAGCUGUGCACCCUUUCGGGGUGUCAAAGUGUGUGAUGUGGUCGAGAUGUGUUGCCUUCACGGGGCGCCUUUUUGUGUGUGGAAAAGAUGAGCGCUGAAAUCAAGAUGCAAUGCAAGUGUUCGAUCAUGCUUUCUUU
RNAcentral lists this long non-coding RNA (1529 nucleotides) under Hordeum vulgare. RNAcentral's name for it is "long non-coding RNA (HVUL_LNC017588)". The record is from RNAcentral. Lineage: Eukaryota; Viridiplantae; Streptophyta; Magnoliopsida; Poales; Poaceae.